This 965-nucleotide long non-coding RNA is filed under the name Anas platyrhynchos platyrhynchos (common mallard). Its description in RNAcentral is "lncRNA (ENSAPLG00000019414.1)". Lineage: Eukaryota; Metazoa; Chordata; Aves; Anseriformes; Anatidae. The record is from RNAcentral.
ACUAACAACAAUUAUUAUUGAUUAACUGUGACGCUCUUACAGGAUCUGCCUUUAUGAGAUAAUAUUACCAAGGAAAGCAUUUCAAAUAGGAUGCAUCCAGUGAGUUAGAGAAAAAAAUAUAAAGAGGAAUCAAACAGAAACAUGUCCAUAUCUUCUGCAGAAAACAACAACUGCAGCAACACACAACAUUAGAUAACACGAGGAAUGGAAAUUAAGAUUAUUGCAUUCAGGUGGAUUAUAGUUAAUGUAAUCAAUUAUUUAGAUAAAUAGACUUAAUUACCCAAACUGAACUUUCUAUAAUGUAAGGUCAUUCUUACUAAGCCUGUUAUAUCUAUGGCGUCUGUGAUCUGGAAGAAUGACUUGGAGACACGAAAACCAACAAGUUGUAGAGCAGCCAAAAUCAUCAUUGCUUGUAAAGAUGUGAUGCACAUUGAAUCUGAGCAGCAGCAACAGCAGCAGAAGGGAGAAGGACACACUAAAAAGCUGGGUAGAAGAGAAUCUCCACUGUCUGCAAGGAACAAUUGCAAGGCCAUAGCAAUUUUGAUCUUCUGCUACCAGCCUUUGGUAUAAGGCAAUCCACAGGGACUCUCAAGGACAGCAAUGAACACGAUGCUCUCCACAGCCUUCCAGCAGGCAGAGUGGCAGUCAAAACAUGCAUUAUGUCCUCCUGAGCUACUGCUGAGCUGCUUGGACAUGAGGCACGUGUGCACCCUGUCCAUGGGCUUCAGCUCCACGCUCCCAGAUUCACUGCCUCAACAUGCAGCAAGCCUGGCUUGAGAGGAGGUUCACAGGGCUGUCCUGGUGCUCAGUGUGACCCUGUUGCAGAAGUCCCCUAUCUCCUUAUCUUACCCUUGCUUGGUUUUUACAAACCUCCAGCGAAAGCCACAUAGACUGAAAGCCACAUAGACUACAAAAUAUGUACCUGGCGAAACUGCAAAAAUAAAUAAAUAAAUCCAUUAUUGACA